RNAcentral lists this unclassified non-coding RNA (352 nucleotides) under soil metagenome. Its description in RNAcentral is "partial contains 5.8S ribosomal RNA, internal transcribed spacer 2, and large subunit ribosomal RNA". The stretch from base 1 to 120 matches the Rfam family "5.8S ribosomal RNA", at positions 35 to 154 of the family's 154-position model. The record is from RNAcentral.
GAUGAAGAACGUAGCGAAAUGCGAUAAGUAAUGUGAAUUGCAGAAUUCAGUGAAUCAUCGAAUCUUUGAACGCACAUUGCGCCCAUUAGUAUUCUGGCGGGCAUGCCUGUUCGAGCGUCAUUUCAACCCUCAGGCCCCCAGUGCCUGGUGUUGGGGAUCGGCCCAGCCUUCCUGUAAGGCCGCCGGCCCCGAAAUCUAGUGGCGGUCUCGCUGUAGUCCUCCUCUGCGUAGUAGCACAACCUCGCAGUUGGAACGCGGCGGUGGCCAUGCCGUUAAACACCCCACUUCUGAAAGUUGACCUCGGAUCAGGUAGGAAUACCCGCUGAACUUAAGCAUAUCAAUAAGCGGAGGA